RNAcentral lists this ribosomal RNA (510 nucleotides) under uncultured bacterium. RNAcentral's name for it is "bacterial SSU rRNA". It matches the Rfam family "Bacterial small subunit ribosomal RNA", at positions 19 to 518 of the family's 1533-position model. The record is from RNAcentral.
CUGGCUCAGGAUGAACGCUAGCGAUAGGCCUAACACAUGCAAGUCGAGGGGCAUCACAUGAGGUAGCAAUACUGAUGGUGGCGACCGGCGCACGGGUGAGUAACACGUAUGCAACCUGCCUUCAACAAGGGCAUAACCCGUUGAAAGACGGACUAAUUCCCUAUGACACAGGGGUCCCGCAUGGGGAUAUUUGUUAAAGAUUAAUCGGUUGGAGAUGGGCAUGCGUUCCAUUAGCUUGUUGGCGGGGUAACGGCCCACCAAGGCAACGAUGGAUAGGGGAACUGAGAGGUUUAUCCCCCACACUGGUACUGAGACACGGACCAGACUCCUACGGGAGGCAGCAGUGAGGAAUAUUGGUCAAUGGGCGCAAGCCUGAACCAGCCACGUCCGCGUGAAGGGAGACGGCCCUACGGGUUGUAAACUUCUUUGCAAGGGAAUAAAGUUGGCCACGCGUGGCCUUUUGCAUGUACCUUGCGAAUAAGGAUCGGCUAACUCCGUGCCAGCCGCCGC